Long non-coding RNA from Aethalodelphis obliquidens (Pacific white-sided dolphin), 3539 nucleotides. RefSeq lists it as uncharacterized. The record is from RefSeq and is a predicted model, not a curated record. The transcript has 8 exons. Lineage: Eukaryota; Metazoa; Chordata; Mammalia; Artiodactyla; Delphinidae.
GGAAUUGAUGUGGCAAACUUCAUUCCUGUCUUAUUUUAGGAAAUCGCCACAGCCACCCCACACUUCAGCAACCACCUGCCUGACCAGUCAGCAGCCAUCAACAUCGAGGCAAGACCCUCCACCAGCAAAAAAAAUUGCAACUUGCUGAAGCCUCAGAUGAUGAAUGUUGAACCCUGACCUUGGAGUGGAAUGGCCCGGUACUGUGGAAAAAACAUGUGCGUUGAACCCAACUCUCGGCUCUGCAUUUGGAGGCUGUAGGAAGUUCCAUCAAGGCCACCGCGUCCUCAUCUGUACAAUGGGAAUAACACCUACCUCACAAGGCUGUUGAGAGGAUUAAGUGACAUGGCUCUAGGAACUUUCCUGGCAGGUCCAGCUUGCAGCAGGACAAUGGGAUCCCUGAGGAGACUGCAUAGUUUCCUUUCACCCAGGGGUGCAAAGUCUCUGAUCUGGAUGAGAUGUCCUAUUGCGAAUUCCAGGAGACAAUUCCCAGGUGUGAUGGAGCCCGGUGUUCUCAACAGCAUAGCAGGUUGAUCCAUGUGAGCAAGCCUGUCCCAGCUCUGCGUCCUCACACGUGCUGUUCCUCCUGCUCGUGGGUCUCCCUUUUCCUCCAGUCUGCUGGCCAUCCUGAGAAUAAUGUUUCCUUAGAGGGAACGUCUCUGAGUACCCAAACAAAAACGCCUGACUCAGCACUGUCUGGGAAAAUCAGCCUUUGAUUCAAAAAGAUGUUGUUCAAUGAUGGUGUCACAGUCCCAGCCAUAGCAUCAGCCCACCAGGAAGUCUGAGGAAGGGAGGCAGGCAGCCAGAAGGACAGAACUUUCUUCUCACCAGGAAGUACCUACCUCUAAGCGAGAGAUGGAUCACUUGGUGCCACCAGGGGAAAGAUAAUUUAGCCAUUGUGUUCACGAUUAAGAAGCAUUCUUCUUUACUCAUGGAAGACUUUCAGUGUCACUACCGCCUGGAACCAAAUGAAAUCCUCCCAAGCCAUGGUUGGGAUCGAGAAUUAACCACAGAACAUGGUCACAGUGAGUUUGUGGCCCGGGCUGGGCACUCUGUAAUUGAGCUUGGGUCGAGACCAAUCUUCUCCACGGUCGUGGUGGCCCUGUGCCAUUAGUAUGGUGCCCAUGAGUGGAGGAGGCUGCAGCUCACUGAAGGUGCCAGCUGUGAAAAUGGCUCAGAAGAGACGGCACAAACAAGCUGCUGUGCUCAGGCUCGGGUCCAUGCUGUUGGUGGCCAAGCAGGACAAGUCAAGGUUGUAGAACUGAGAUAGGCUGGGACCUGGGACCCUUUACUGGAGUGCUUGCCCUUGCACCCGGACAAACGUUUCCUCGAGCAACAGAAUGCAAAGCACCUAUAAGGGACUGAAAAUCACUGCAUGCAUGCACCAACUACCACUUCUGAGGUGCUGAGAGCAAAAGCAGGGUAUUAUGCAUGGUCCCUGCACAUAGCACCACCAAGGGGGCGGGCAGACCCCCUAAGCCACCCCUCCGGCCCAACCCACUGAUAUGCCCCCACCCUCAUCCCAUUUAAGGGACCAGCCUGCCCUCCUCGGAGAGCGAGCGAGGGCACCUGUUACUUGUUUUCUCUUCCUUGUGCAGUAGCGCAAGUCCCAGUAAAAUGUUGCCUGAAUUCCUCAUCAAUUUCUAUUGAUUAAAGAGUCCAAGGACCCGGGUCAGUAACAGAACAACUUGGGACUUAGGGCAUUGCCCCCAAGGAGCAUCAGCACUUGGGGUUCUAGUGACCAGGCAAAGAGACCCUCCAGGUGUCUGAGCACACCCUCCAGUUCUGCCAGGGUAUGUUGGCAUUUCUGCUGCUCGCCUCAGCAGUGGCCAGAGGUUUCUUCUUCUCCCUGUCCUCUGCCAGGGACUGCACUUCCAGCUCUGGAGCCGCCAUCACGACCCCCAGGACUGAACUUUAUUCUUGCAGUGAGCAGAUGAAGCCUCAGAAUGCUUCUCACCAUGGCCCUCCAGAAAGGUCCUGCCAGUGCGACUGAAAAGACAAGAACACAUAUGCCAUUCCCAGGUGGUGAAUACCCUGUGUUUCGUGAAUUGACAUUGGAUGAAAGAAGCAAAAAUUCCAAUGGAGGUUUUCUGUGGUCUUCAAAGUUGAUCAAGGACAUUGAAAUCAAGUGUCUCUUUGCCAUCAAAACUACACUUUGGUAAAGGAAAUACCUGCUUACUGUCUGUUCCUAAGGACUCAAUUUUCUUAGAAGCUAGAAGCCUGAGCACAAAAAAAUCAAGAUUUUGUCUCAUCCCUGCCUAUUGUCAUUAUAUUUCAUAUGUCUUCAGAAAUAGAAGACUUUUUUUUCCCAAGGAGGAGUUUGAGGGCAAGGAAGGUGAGUUACUGCAAUACUGAUUUGUCAGUUACUGCAAUACUGAUUUGUCUCAUACCUGCUGAGCACUUGUUCCCAGUGUUCUGCCAAAAGAAAUCCGGUUGCAUAGGCAGCUGGUCAACCAGGACUCUUCCAAUAGUAUUUUCUAAUACUAAUUUUCUAGGUUGUGUUUUUUGCGGUUUUUUUGGAUAGCGUUGAAUAGAUUUGCUCAUAAAACUUUUUAUUGUUUUUAUUUUUCUGUUCUUCUUCCUCCUCCUCUUCCCCCUCUUCCUUCUCCUUCUCAUUCUUCUGGCCUGUUCUUUAUUUCUUAUUACAUUGUCUGGAAGGCUUCUGGUGAUGAGUUCAAUGUUUUUGGUGACCAGCAACACUGAACUUUCAUGGGUGUGAUUUUUUGUGACAAAAAAGCCUGUUGCUUUUUUACUGCCCUCAACUGACCUGCUUCUGUAUCUCAGUUAUUACUGCUUUUAGGAAAGUGAGUGGAGAGCUAGCCUGACUCCAAGGGUCAUGGAGAUAGACACAGCACUGUUGAGGUGUUCUCUCUGCCAACCCCCAGAUCAAGGGACAUUUCCCUACUGGAUUGGUUAGCAUUCUAGGUCAGCUAGUUUCUGAGAUGGGGCAGAGGGAGGUGAGAAGGGAAAGGCAGGAGUGAUAGAGCUAUGUCAAGACAUGUCAUUGCUUUUAGACAGUUAAAUUAAUUAGAUUUUGCAAUCUUGUACUUAGAAAUGAGUUACUUAAGUGAGAUAACAAAAGAAAAAAGUCUCAAUGACAAUUUAGCCUAGUGGAUUUCUCAUUCUCCUGGUCAGAACGGCAUUGACAUAUUAUGCUGGCUUCAUUCUCUUUCACCUGCUCCCAGGUACAUGGGUACCUGCAUGCUUCUAGUGAAAAGUGGAAAAAGGCUGAGCUCCAAGAUUAUUCUUUUAAAUGAGUAACAAUUGUUCAUUUCCUAAGAACUUUGUUGAUUCUCAAGUAAAUGUGGAGAUGGCUAAUGGCAACUGGGUAUAUUAAGAAAAAUAUUUUCAACCAAUAGAUUUGGAACCAGUUUAACUAUACACUCAAACUGGGUGAGAUGAAAUGUUCUUUUCCCUCUUUGAAUAAAUGUGGGUUUGUUUGUCAAGAAUACCAGAGGGGGCUUCCCUGGUGGCGCAGUGGCUGAGAGUCCGCCUGCCGAUGCAGGGGACAUGGGUUCGUGCCCCGGGCCGGGAAGAUCCCA